UACGUAGGUGGCAAGCGUUGCCCGGAUUUACUGGGCGUAAAGAGCGCGCAGGCGGUCGUUCAAGUCGCGUGUGAAAGCCCCCGGCUCAACUGGGGAGGGUCACGCGAUACUGAUCGACUCGAAGGCAGGAGAGGGUAGUGGAAUUCCCGGUGUAGUGGUGAAAUACGUAGAUAUCGGGAGGAACACCAGUGGCGAAGGCGACUACCUGGCCUGUUCUUGACGCUGAGGCGCGAAAGCUAGGGGAGCAAACGGG
This 253-nucleotide ribosomal RNA is filed under the name uncultured bacterium. Its description in RNAcentral is "partial 16S ribosomal RNA". It matches the Rfam family "Bacterial small subunit ribosomal RNA", at positions 524 to 776 of the family's 1533-position model. The record is from RNAcentral.